Molecule: RNA transcript, 6037 nt
Organism: Acanthopagrus latus (yellowfin seabream)
Lineage: Eukaryota; Metazoa; Chordata; Actinopteri; Spariformes; Sparidae
Exons: 5
Source: RefSeq, a predicted model, not a curated record
CCUUUAUCUUCAAUUGAAAAGAAGGUAAUAAAAGUUCAGAAUUGUUAUCGACAGUUAGUUAUGGCCGCCUUUUGCAUUUUGAAUGACUUUUUUUUGUUCUGCGUGUUUUAUUGUAGUGCAUGUCCGACUGUCGCCAUGUGCAAGCUUGCAAACUAAGGUUAACAGGUUGACGGCGUUGACUCAUUUACAAAACCGCUCAAACCAAACAGUUUUUAAAACGUUUUAAAAAUAAUAGCGGUAAAGUUAAAAAUCCCCCAAGUAGCGUCUUGCUUUCGCCUGGAGUCCGACAAAAAGUCGACACUAACUCCACCUUUGGCGAGCAGCAAGUGUUGUUGUUUUUUUAUUUUAGUUUUUUUUCGGCCGCCGCCGUGGCAGGGUUUCUCUGUUAACUCGACGUAAAUCUCCUCGGGCUGGACCACUGCUCUGGUGCAGCUAGGUUUCUGAGAGUGUAAACACAGCAGUUCGUUGCGCUACGGAGCUCUCCACAGUCUGAUGUUAUUCACGUUAUUGAGGAGGGAGAGAACGUGUGCUACCGUGAGUGUAAAAGUACUGUUGCACGGUUUGUGUGCAUUAACGUUAGCUCGUAGCCUGGUGUAGCCACCACCAACCUCCAAGGCACACUUAUCAGGUGUUUGUCGUGACAUGCAGCUUUGCUAUGGAUUUUUACAGUAUCUCUCGAUCGCACCGCGCCACAUUCACGCACUUGUAGUUUUCAGUCAAAUCAGUCCCUCCACAAACAUAAAGAAGCAUAUUUAAUGUACUUGUCCACUGGAAAUAAUAGAACCAGUCAUACAUUGGAUUAACUAUUGUUUUAACUCUCUUUAUUAUUAUGUACGUUAAAGUUAUUGUACUUCUCCCUCACCCUGUCUCUCUUUUCUCUCUCAAUUCAUCACAGAAAUUUGUGGCAGUAAACGUGUCCAGUGCCAUCAUACAAGUCACCACCAUUGGCCAUACUCCUGUGAAAGCGUCCUCUUCUGGCAUCAUCAAACAAGAGUGACUGCAGGAAAAGGGAGUCAUCUGCUAGUGUCAGGGUCAGUGUAGACAGUAAGUUUGUACACAAAUGUAGUGACAAACUGUUUAAGAUCAAGUAUGGUGAAAAGGGAAAGAUGGGAAAUGAAAAAUGUUAAAUGCCCAGAUGUUAGAUUGUACCAUUGUGUGUUACUGAUAUGUGGAGGUGCAAGGAGUGUAGUCUAUCUUUUUCGACUAGAUAUGAUCUACUUAAACAUUUAAGACUACAUCACCGCCAUAGACGACUUCACUCAUGCCCAUAUCAAAACUGUCCAUGCAAUUUUAAGACGCAAAAUGCGUUGCGCAUACAUUUAAGUAGAGUUCAUCCUAAGCAAACUCAAAGUCAGGAGCUCCUGGAAUUGAAAACAUUUUGUUGUCCUUUGUGCAACUGUAGCAAUAUUUCUACAGAGAGGGACUUUUUCACACAUAUUGGCAUUCAUUUUAAGAGUCAUGAAACUGUUACCUGUAUGUUUGGGGAUUGUACUUUUAAAACAAAUAUCUAUGCAACAUUUCACUCCCACAAGAACCGGAAACACAACCCCCAUACAUUAAAUGAUUUUAAACCAGGGAUAGUGACAACAACCAGAGUUUCACAAGAAUCAACUGACAGUGCAGAGGACGAUACACUUAACCCAGAUGACUGUGUAGUGGAAUUAAACAGUGCAUCUUCAAAUAAUGAUGAUAUAAGCAAGACCCUGCCUGACAUUAUUGAGCAGAACUUUGCUGCAGCUUUGCUUAAACUAGAACAUUUCGCACAUGUGCCAGGCACAAAAGUUGAUGAGUUUCUACAGGAGCUACACUAUUUGUUAUGCUCAGCUGCAUUUCCUCUCACUGUUAACACUAUUGAAACUAUGUUUCAGAAACAUGGCUCCGUACCUGAAAAGUCAGUGAUAAAAGAAGUCGCCACAGCCCUUGCCACGUCUCACCCCUUGCUAAAAUCUAUAGAGAAAGGUGGCUCUUUGAGCACAUCAUAUCUCCGAAACAAAUUUUACAGGGAGAACUUUAAUGUCAUUGAACCCACUGAGUACAUGCUUGAUGAAAAGGAAAACAAAAGCUUUCAGUAUGUGCCUUUACUGAAGAGCUUGCAACAGCUCUUCAAUAGGAAAGAUGUUGUGGAUAAAGUUGUUGAAAAUCACAGAGCACAUCAGAGUCAUGGGGUCACAGGAGAACAGUGUACUUAUAAAUCAUUUCAAGAUGGCUCUCACUUUAAGGGAAAUGGUUUUCUUUCAGGGGGUGAGUUAAGAAUCUUGCUAACUUUGUACAUAGAUGAUUUCGAGCUGUGUAAUCCUCUUGGCACUUCGCGCAGGAAACAUAAGCUCUGUGGUAUCUACUGGACUUUGAGUAAUUUGCCACCAGGCUCACAUUCAGCACUUUCUGCGAUUUACCUGGCAAUCUUGUGCAAAUCUGAUAAUGUGAAGAAGUACGGUUAUGACAAUGUCCUGCAUCCUCUUCUUCAAGAUGUAAAAACACUUGAGCAGGAAGGAAUUUUUGUCCCAUUGCUUGGUAAAUGUGUUAAAGGCACAAUUCAAGUUGUUGCAGCGGAUAACCUCAGUGCCCAUAGUGUGGCAGGUUUUAAUGAAAGUUUUUCUGGUGGGUACAUCUGCCGAUUCUGCACAGCAACACGGGCAGAGAUCCAAACAAGAGAUGUGAAAUCAGGUUUAUUUGAUCUGAGGACUAAAGAACUACAUGACUCGCAUGUGCAUUCAGCCCAGCAGAACAGUUCAAGCUGUUUUGGGGUGAAAGGCCCAUGUGUAAUCACCAAAAACCUUGCCCACUUUAAUGUUCUGACUGGUUAUCCACCAGAUAUCAUGCAUGAUGUCUUUGAAGGCAUCGUACCUGUGGAGCUUGCACAUUGUUUGUCACUGCUGAUAUCCAAGAAAUAUUUCAGUCUUGAGCUUCUGAACAAGUCUAUCCUUAGUUUUCCCUUCAAGUGGUCAGACAAGACUAACAGGCCCCACGUAAUUCCACACACAUUCUCAAAAACAAUCGGGGGGAACGCUCAUGAGAACUGGGCUUUGAUAAGAUUUCUUCCAUUCAUCAUUGGGCAUCUUGUGCCAGAAGAUGAAAUGGCAUGGCAAAUUUUAAUGGUUCUAAAAGAUGUUGUAGAGCUGGUGGUUGCUCCAACACACACAGAAGACUCUGUUGCUUACCUUGAGUGCAAAAUUUCAGAGCACCGCAAAAGAUACCAAGAACUGUUUCCUAAUGUGCAGCUUCUACCCAAACAUCAUUACCUAGACCAUUAUCCUGGACUCAUCAGGCAGUUUGGUCCUCUCGUUGGUCUCUGGACUAUGCGAUUCGAGGCCAAGCACAGUUUUUUUAAGCAUGUAAUUCGACACUCCAACUGCUUCAAAAACGUGCCCCUCUCGCUAGCUUUUAAGCAUCAGCUCAUGAUUUCGUAUCACAUGAGAGCAUCCAGUUUUGAAAAGCCUGUCCUUGAGCUGACAAAUGUCUCAACAGUUCCUAUUGAUGUUUUAAAAACAGACAUUGUUGAGAACAUUGAACAAAGAUUUCCUGGUACCAGAGAGGUACACAUGACUCGAUCUGUGUCAACCAAAGGUGUAACUUUUAAAAAGGACAUGAUUAUAGCUCAUGGGUCUACAAGUGGACUUCCUGAUUUUGGACAGAUUGUUCACGUUUUUGUUAUUCAGGAGAGACUGUUUUUUAUGGUUAAGAGACUUUGUGGAUGGUAUAGUGAGCAUUACAGGGCUUUUGAGCUCACGUCAUGUCCAACCAAAGACACAGAUCUGAUUGAGCUUAGUGACCUAGCAGAUGACUACCCUCUGGCAGACUACUUUGUUGGAUCUCUAAGAAUGGUGACAUUGAAAAGACACAUACAUGUAUAAGAUUGUUGAUGAAAUGGCUGCUCCAGUGAAGCUCAGAGUCAUCCUUGGAGAAAACGAUUCCCAGAGACUGAUCCUGCAGGACGGAAUCCCAGAGACUAUUGGUGAACUUGUUCAGCACAUUAAGAGGCAGUGUGGGGUAGAGGACCACUUCAGGCUGCAAUUUAUGGAUGCUGAGUUUGGCAAUGAAUUCACCAACUUGACUUCAGUGUUAGAGAUCCAGGACAAAAGUACCUUAAAGCUUGUCUUUGAUUCAGCUCCCGCUGCCUCUGCCCUGCCUGGUGGCUCCCCACCUCCACCCUGCUCCACUCCUGCCACAUCAUGGUCUGGUGAUGACUCAUCACUUUCAUUUAGUAGCUUGUGUGACACAGACAUCCUGUCUUCUCCUGAGUCCACCCCUUCAAGAUCCUCUGGAUGGCCUGUUGUUUUUGUUGUACCCCGUUUCCCAUAUGAUUGUCAGCUUCAGCUGGACAAGGCCAAUGCGGCAUUCAAAGAAAGUGGAACUUUAUUGGAUCCAGAUGUUAGACUUAAAACUGCCAUUCUUGACAGUUUAGCUGAGGAAAUUGUUCGGUACAAAGUGUACCCCUCAGACAGUGAGUUUGAAGAGGUUGCUGAAGCCCUUGUGUCAUCCCAUCCAUGUUUGAAAGAGCCAGGCUCUGCCACUGGAUAUGGUGGCUGGAAGGUGAGCUUAAAGUACAAACUUGCUAACUACCGGAGGAAGCUCAAGCGGCUUGGAUGUCCAGAAGUUGAACUGAAUUCGCUGACAAAUAAACCUGCAGACAAAUGCAGUCCUGCUUAUGGUGUGAAGAAGCCCAGAAGAGCAGAAGUAAAUUACUGCCCCACCUACCCAUCUGAUGAAUCUGCAGAGACACUUGAAAAAAUAAGAGAGACCCUGCUUUUAGAAGUAAAGAAAAGGAACAAUCAGGGCACAGUGGCGGCCAUGAUGGAGAAGACCUUUGCACACAGAAGGCAAGAGGUUAUUCGUGAUGCACCCUUGAUUGCUGAUUUCAAAACCAAAUGGCCGGCUCUCUUCUGUGUACGCGAGCUAACUGCUGAAUUCAAGAGGAUUACAACCGUCAGUUUGCUGCCAAAGUUCUUCUCCCAACUGGAUGCUCUAUCUUCAAAGCUGAUGAAGGUGUUUUCCAAGAAAGGGGGCGGUCAAGGAAGAAAGAUCAAGAGCAUCAUGAUACCCAUCACCCAGACCGAUGCCAUUGAUGUCAGAAGAGAGUGCAUCAUCAAAGCCCUGUGUGUCUACUUAAAUGAAGAGCCAGAGAACCUCGUGAAAGAAUACAUGAACACAGAUGGUGAAAGCAGUGAAGCUGCGAUGAUGAAGACUACAUUUGGAAUAUUUGUCAUUCGCAAAGAAGAUGCAGAGCCAAAAGAUGGACCGGAAGAUGUAGGUAUCAUUCUGGAGGGCGUGCAAGUUCUGGAUGAGCUCGGAAACGUACCACUUGCCGUGGGAAUGUUGUUCGCACUUGUAUACGCGCUCAACCUCAGCUAUCCACCAGAGCUGCGAUACACCUUCGAAGCUUUGCAGAAGCUUAUCAUGGAGCUUGAUGGAAACCGACUCUCAAAAAAAAUUCAAACACUGAAAACACUACUUGCACGUUAGUCAUCCUCAUUAGAGUAAACUACUGUUCAGGUAGCAGUGACUCUAUUUGAAGCCUUUCAGGCAUUUACCUUCAAAUAUGAUAAGCUGUUGUUAAUGUGUUUUGAUACUUUAAACUGUUGAUAUUUGGAGGUUAGAGGAGAAUAAUGUUUAGAAGUGUUUCUUUAAACAAGGGAAGGAAAAAAAAAGUUGUCAAACAACAAAGUUUUCUUUUGAAACUUGAGAUGAUGCACAAUGCUGUAUUUAACAUUUUUCUUUGCACACAGUUGCCAGGACCGUAUUCUGCAUAUAGCUUCAUAACCAGCUUUGAUUUGUUUUUUGGUCAUCAGAAAGCUCCAAAUAUAGACACCUAAUACUGGUUGUUUAAGUGGUUUACACUUGAAAUUUGAAAUUGUUUGUAUUUUCACAGCAACAUGUUUUCAGCCAAUUGCUUGAAAGUGAGUUUUGCCAUUUCUGGUAAAGUGUUAUUCCAACAAAUCCAGUUUGCUUCGUGUUUUUCUUUUCCAAAACUUGACACCAGCUUGGGGAAAAUAGGUUGACAUUUGUAUAAAUUGUGGAAUAUAAAAAUACUGUUAAAUUA